UCACGCGCUGAAUUUAA
Molecule: ribosomal RNA, 17 nt
Filed under: Orthotrichum shevockii
Lineage: Eukaryota; Viridiplantae; Streptophyta; Bryopsida; Orthotrichales; Orthotrichaceae
Description: partial 28S ribosomal RNA
Source: RNAcentral